AGAGUUUGUAUCCUGGCUCAGGAUGAACGCUGGCGGCGUGCCUAACACAUGCAAGUCGAGCGAUUUACUUCGGUAAAGAGCGGCGGACGGGUGAGUAACGCGUGGGUAACCUGCCCUGUACACACGGAUAACAUACCGAAAGGUAUGCUAAUACGAGAUAAAAUACUUUUAUCGCAUGGUAGAAGUAUCAAAGUUUUUGCGGUACAGGAUGGACCCGCGUCUGAUUAGCUAGUUGGUAAGGUAACGGCUUACCAAGGCGACGAUCAGUAGCCGACCUGAGAGGGUGAUCGGCCACAUUGGAACUGAGACACGGUCCAAACUCCUACGGGAGGCAGCAGUGGGGAAUAUUGCACAAUGGGCGAAAGCCUGAUGCAGCAACGCCGCGUGAGUGAUGAAGGCCUUCGGGUCGUAAAGCUCUGUCCUCAAGGAAGAUAAUGACGGUACUUGAGGAGGAAGCCCCGGCUAACUACGUG
This 473-nucleotide ribosomal RNA is filed under the name uncultured Sporacetigenium sp. RNAcentral describes it as "bacterial SSU rRNA". It matches the Rfam family "Bacterial small subunit ribosomal RNA", at positions 8 to 507 of the family's 1533-position model. Lineage: Bacteria; Bacillati; Bacillota; Clostridia; Peptostreptococcales; Tepidibacteraceae. The record is from RNAcentral.